UCGUCGCUGGCCAGCGGCGGCGGCGGCAGGCGUUUAUCCAUCGCUGACCCCGGCGAUCGUCACGUCGAUGGCGGU
This 75-nucleotide transfer RNA is filed under the name Salmonella enterica subsp. salamae. RNAcentral's name for it is "tRNA-Asp(atc)". The record is from RNAcentral. Lineage: Bacteria; Pseudomonadati; Pseudomonadota; Gammaproteobacteria; Enterobacterales; Enterobacteriaceae.